Molecule: ribosomal RNA, 245 nt
Filed under: uncultured bacterium
Lineage: Bacteria
Description: partial 16S ribosomal RNA
Rfam family: Bacterial small subunit ribosomal RNA
Source: RNAcentral
UACAGAGGGUGCGAGCGUUAAUCGGAAUUACUGGGCGUAAAGCGUGCGUAGACGGUAGCGUAAGUCAGAUGUGAAAGCCCCGGGCUCAACCUGGGAACUGCAUUUGAGACUGCUCUGCUCGGGUGCGGAAGAGGGAAGCGGAAUUUCCGGUGUAGCGGUGAAAUGCGUAGAUAUCGGAAGGAACACCAGUGGCGAAGGCGGCAUCCUGGACCGGCAUUGACGCUGAGGCGCGAAAGCCAGGGGAG